UGGUGGUAUUCACGAUACGCGACGCGAGACAAGACAUAACACUUAUAGUUAUAUGUCUUGUCUCGCGUCGCGUAUCGUGAAUGUCGUGUUG
RNAcentral lists this microRNA precursor (91 nucleotides) under Aedes aegypti (yellow fever mosquito). RNAcentral describes it as "pre miRNA AAEL028900". Lineage: Eukaryota; Metazoa; Arthropoda; Insecta; Diptera; Culicidae. The record is from RNAcentral.